This 535-nucleotide ribosomal RNA is filed under the name uncultured Chloroflexota bacterium. RNAcentral describes it as "bacterial SSU rRNA". It matches the Rfam family "Bacterial small subunit ribosomal RNA", at positions 346 to 896 of the family's 1533-position model. The record is from RNAcentral. Lineage: Bacteria; Bacillati; Chloroflexota.
GGGCUGCAGUAGGGAAUAUUGCACAAUGGGCGCAAGCCUGAUGCAGCAACGCCGCGUGCGCGAUGAAGGCCUUCGGGUCGUAAAGCGCUUUUCGGGGAGAAGAGGAAGGACGGUAUCCCCGGAAUAAGUCUCGGCUAACUACGUGCCAGCAGCCGCGGUAAAACGUAGGAGGCAAGCGUUAUCCGAAUUUACUGGGCGUAAAGGGUGUGCAGGCGGUUCGGUAAGUUGGGUGUGAAAUCUCCCGGCUCAACUGGGAGAGGACGCUCAAGACUGUCGGACUGGAGGGCGGUAGAGGGAGGUGGAAUUCCCGGUGUAGUAGUGAAAUGCGUAGAUAUCGGGAGGAACGCCAGUGGCGAAAGCGGCCUCCUGGACCGUACCUGACGCUGAGACACGAAAGCUAGGGGAGCGAACGGGAUUAGAAACCCCGGUAGUCCUAGCCGUAAACGAUGUGGACUGGGUGUGGAUGGGGUAAAAGCCAGCCGUGCCGAAGCCAACGCGAUAAGUCCACCGCCUGGGGACUACGGCCGCAAGGUUA